RNAcentral lists this unclassified non-coding RNA (2846 nucleotides) under Megachile rotundata (alfalfa leafcutting bee). RNAcentral's name for it is "uncharacterized LOC105662747, transcript variant X1". The record is from RNAcentral. Lineage: Eukaryota; Metazoa; Arthropoda; Insecta; Hymenoptera; Megachilidae.
GUUAAAUAAUUUCUUUUUAUAGAGAAACUUUUUCUCUCAGCUACAGUUCGAUGUCCUCCAUUUUGGUCUACAGUGUCCACCAUUUUGUUCUCCAGUGCCCUACAAUGGCUGAAUGUCUCUCUAACCUCAAAAUAUAAUAAUUUUCUUCGCAACCAAUGCACUCUUAACACAGAAUAUUUGAAUAAAGAGAAAAGUUUGAAAUACUGCAGUUCUACAAAAAAUAUAUUACUAAUAAUACACACACGUGUACAUCACACUAUGUAAUCUAAUUGAAUGUUUAGAUCUAUGGACAUCAAGUGGUACACACACUCAUUGUUAAGUAAUUUCUUUUUAUAAAGAAACUUUUUCCUCCCAGUUUGAUGUCCUCCAUUUUGGUCUACAGUGUCCACCAUUUUGUUCUCCAGUGCCCUACAAUGCCUGAACGUCUCUCUAACCUCAAAAUAUAAUAAUUCUCUUCGCAACCAAUGCACUCUUGACACGGAAUAUUUGAAUAAAUAAAUGUUUGUAUAAAUAGAAAAGUAGGAUACUAUUGCGAGAAGUUUGCAUUUCGUUACAUCUCGCAACACGAUUACCGCGAAUGAAAUGCACAUGUAUUGAAUCGAUAACGUUUCAAUACUCAACCAAUUUGUUCGAAAAAGACCGAUCAUUGAUUUGCUAAUCAAUGCGUUGCAUCAGUACGAUUUAUUAUGUUAAAUUGGAGAGUUAACAGGAUUUUCCGGCAUGAUUACGCAAAACGAAUUGCGUAUCGCAGCAUUGCGAAUGACGAUGCGUAUCGACGGAAAUUGCAAGCUCGAUAGCGAGCUAUUUCGCUGGAAUUAUAAUUUUAUGUGUUUGCUAGUGAAAGCAUUUAACAAUUCAACGGAGAAACGAUUGCUGAUAAUAGGGGAAUUUGUGUUAUUUUCAAUAUUGCGAUCUGGAAGUGAUUUUAUCGGUGGAAAAAGUUCAAGCGGACAAAAGAGCGGAGAUAGUUUCUGCGAAACCCGGGCUCCUUUUUCCUCGGCACCUCGGUAACCGAGUAACCAAGUAACCAAGCGACCAAGUAACACCACCACGCACCGCGAGCAGGAAUCGCGAGAUGUUACACGAGGGGAGGAACGUCAGAUAAGUGGCAUAGUGGCGAUCUCCCGGGAAAGAAAGAGGAGUCGGCUCGUGGAACGAGGAGAGGCAAAACAGGCGGAGGAGGCAGAAGCAGCGUCUAAAGAAGAAGAAGAAGAAGAAGAAACGGAGUGGAAGAGGUUAACGGCCUCUGGCACAGUGGUGAUAAAGAGCCAAAGCAGCGGAGGCGAAACCGCAGAGAAUUCGAACCGACUCUGUAGGAACACGAGAUGAGUGGAACCUUGGAAAGAGGAAGAGGACGCGUGUGUGGAACACACGCCGAACACGCACACGCCGAUGGAUAUUUUCUGAUUCGUUCGGAAACAAACGAUCACGCUUUUCUGCCAACGUUUUAUGCUCGCAGAAUUUUAGCUCGAUGGGAAUUUAGAUAUGGUGGAGAGGUAUCGAUAAAUAUUGGUAAUGCUGGAAUGUUAUCGGGUAUUCGAUGUAUUGAUGGUAUCGUUUAGAUAGCGUAAGCAGGGUUAGGAGAUAGAGUUGAAAUAUGAAGUUUGUGCACUUUUCAUUCUUUACAUUUGUUAUUUAUAUUAGUUACAUUUUCAAUAUUAUGAAAGUUUUUGGUACAAUUUUUUGUAAACUUCGUUUUAUAUCUUUAUGUGGUUGUACUUAAAUCUGGCAGUACAUACAUGAUUCUCAAGUUUGAAUUUCCGGAAUUGUCAGAUUUUUAACGUGUAUUACACUCAAGGUUGCGAACAUCGAUAUCCAAUUUUCAAUUGUAAAAAAUAAAUUCCUUUUUUGAGGCAAUAGCAAAAGAAUCAUAUAGACCUAACCUCUAACUUCAAACGAAUUUCACUAAUCAAAUGAUGUGUCUACCAAAAGAUGUACUUAUUAAAAGAUCUAUCUGGGAUUAAAAUAUAAUAAACUGUCUUUAAAAAUUCCUUUAAUUUCAGUUAGUCAGCUCCUGAGGAUUAAAGGAAAGAAAAGAAGUCAUGCUUGUUAAGAGACGUCUAUAAAGAGACAUGACUAAAAUAUAAUGGACACUCUGCAAAUUCGUAUAAUUUCACCUAGUCAACUCCUAAAAUCUGAAGAAAAGAUGUGCUCAAAAAAUGAGCCUAUAAAGAGAUAUGACUAAAAUAUAAUUGACACUCUGAAAAUUCGUGUAAUUUCACCUAGUAAACUCCUAAAAUCUGAAGAAAAGAUGUGCUCAAGAAAUGAGCCUAUAAAGAGACAUGACUAAAAUGUAAUGAACACUCUGCAAAUUCGUAUAAUUUCACCUAGUCAACUCCUAAAAUCUGAAGAAAAGAUGUGCUCAAGAAAUGAGCCUAUAAAGGUACAUGACUAAAAUAUAAUGAACUCUCUGAAAAUUUGUGUAAUUUCACCAAGUCAGCUCCUAGAAUCCAAAGAAAAGAUGUGCUCAAGAAAUGAGCCUAUAAAGAGACAUGACUAAAAUGUAAUGAACACUCUGCAAAUUCGUAUAAUUUCACCUAGUCAACUCCUAAAAUCUGAAGAAAAGAUGUGCUCAAGAAAUGAGCCUAUAAAGAGACAUGACUAAAAUGUAAUGAACACUCUGCAAAUUCGUAUAAUUUCACCUAGUCAACUCCUAAAAUCUGAAGAAAAGAUGUGCUCAAGAAAUGAGCCUAUAAAGAGACAUGACUAAAAUGUAAUGAACACUCUGCAAAUUCGUAUAAUUUCACCUAGUCAACUCCUAAAAUCUGAAGAAAAGAUGUGCUCAAGAAAUGAGCCUAUAAAGAGACAUGACUAAAAUGUAAUGAACACUCUGCAAAUUCGUAUAA